GACGAACGCUGGCGGCGUGCUUAACACAUGCAAGUCGAGCGGAAAGGCCCUUUCGGGGGUACUCGAGCGGCGAACGGGUGAGUAACACGUGAGUAAUCUGCCCUUGGCUUUGGGAUAACCACCGGAAACGGUGGCUAAUACCGGAUAUGACGGGCUCCGGCAUCGGGGUUCGUGGAAAGUUUUUUCGGCCAGGGAUGUGCUCGCGGCCUAUCAGCUUGUUGGUGGGGUAAUGGCCUACCAAGGCUUCGACGGGUAGCCGGCCUGAGAGGGUGACCGGCCACACUGGGACUGAGACACGGCCCAGACUCCUACGGGAGGCAGCAGUGGGGAAUAUUGGACAAUGGGCGAAGCCUGAUCCAGCAACGCCGCGUGAGGGAUGACGGCCUCGGUUGGUAAACC
Molecule: ribosomal RNA, 399 nt
Filed under: uncultured bacterium
Lineage: Bacteria
Description: bacterial SSU rRNA
Rfam family: Bacterial small subunit ribosomal RNA
Source: RNAcentral